Molecule: long non-coding RNA, 524 nt
Organism: Amborella trichopoda
Lineage: Eukaryota; Viridiplantae; Streptophyta; Magnoliopsida; Amborellales; Amborellaceae
Source: RefSeq, a predicted model, not a curated record
UUUUAUUCUUUUAAUCCUUGUUGAAAGAAUUCUAUCUCAAAAGUUGAGAAGAUUGAUGAAGAUUUGAUGUUUUCAUGCUUUCCACAGGCUUUCUUGAACAUGGAAUUCAGACAGGUCCUCUUCGACUUAGUUCUCGGAGAUGUGAUGUUGAGUAACAGGCUCAAGAAAACUGUGGAGAAACAUGGAAACAACCAUAUUAUUGAGCUCCAUGUCUAAAGGCGAAGAAGGUGAAGGAAAUUUUAUCAGAAUGAAGGGGAAGGUGGAAGUCAAUAAAUACAUACAAAACAGAGAGCUGGUGGAUCACGGGUAACAGAGGUGGUGAAGUCCUGAAGCUGGGCUAAAAGAAUGUUCAGAGAACAAAAUGGGGCCACUGUAUUCUAGGAUAUAGUUGUUUUGCCACAUGAGCGUGUAAGGAUCCUCAUAUUAUACAUUUAAGUCCCUUGAGGGAAAAUGAUCCUGAUUUUUCUUUAUUUGAAAUUUUGAGAUCUACCUAUGAAUCAUAGAUGACUUUGAGUUCUGCAACA